GAUGAAGAACGUAGCGAAAUGCGAAAAGUAAUGUGAAUUGCAGAAUUCAGUGAAUCAUCGAAUCUUUGAACGCACAUUGCGCCCGCCAGUAUUCUGGCGGGCAUGCCUGUCUGAGCGUCAUUUCAACCCUCGCGCCCCUAGGGCGUGGUGUUGGGGAUCGGCCAAGGCCCGCAAGGGACGGCCGGCCCCUAAAUCUAGUGGCGGACCCAUCGUGGCCUCCCCUGCGAAGUAGUAAUAUAUUCCGCAUCGGAUAGCGAUGAGCCCCUGCCGUUAAACCCCCAACUCUUUCAAGGUUGACCUCAGAUCAGGUAGGAAUACCCGCUGAACUUAAGCAUAUCAAUAAGCGGAGGA
This 351-nucleotide unclassified non-coding RNA is filed under the name soil metagenome. RNAcentral's name for it is "partial contains 5.8S ribosomal RNA, internal transcribed spacer 2, and large subunit ribosomal RNA". The stretch from base 1 to 120 matches the Rfam family "5.8S ribosomal RNA", at positions 35 to 154 of the family's 154-position model. The record is from RNAcentral.